Molecule: transfer RNA, 78 nt
Filed under: Deltaproteobacteria bacterium
Lineage: Bacteria; Pseudomonadati; Myxococcota; Myxococcia
Description: tRNA-Arg
Rfam family: tRNA
About the family: Transfer RNA (tRNA) molecules are approximately 80 nucleotides in length.
Source: RNAcentral
GCGCCCGUAGCUCAGCCUGGAUAGAGCAGCGGACUUCUAAUCCGCGGGUCGCGUGUUCGAAUCACGCCGGGCGCACCA